UGGGGGAUAACGUAGGGAAACUUACGCUAAUACCGCAUACGACCUACGGGUGAAAGCAGGGGAUCUUCGGACCUUGCGCGAUUGAAUGAGCCGAUGUCGGAUUAGCUAGUUGGCGGGGUAAAGGCCCACCAAGGCGACGAUCCGUAGCUGGUCUGAGAGGAUGAUCAGCCACACUGGAACUGAGACACGGUCCAGACUCCUACGGGAGGCAGCAGUGGGGAAUAUUGGACAAUGGGCGCAAGCCUGAUCCAGCCAUACCGCGUGGGUGAAGAAGGCCUUCGGGUUGUAAAGCCCUUUUGUUGGGAAAGAAAUCCAGCCGGCUAAUACCCGGUUGGGAUGACGGUACCCAAAGAAUAAGCACCGGCUAACUUCGUGCCAGCAGCCGCGGUAAUACGAAGGGUGCAAGCGUUACUCGGAAUUACUGGGCGUAAAGCGUGCGUAGGUGGUCGUUUAAGUCCGUUGUGAAAGCCCUGGGCUCAACCUGGGAACUGCAGUGGAUACUGGGCGACUAGAGUGUGGUAGAGGGUAGCGGAAUUCCUGGUGUAGCAGUGAAAUGCGUAGAGAUCAGGAGGAACAUCCAUGGCGAAGGCAGCUACCUGGACCAACA
RNAcentral lists this ribosomal RNA (607 nucleotides) under Stenotrophomonas sp. Its description in RNAcentral is "bacterial SSU rRNA". It matches the Rfam family "Bacterial small subunit ribosomal RNA", at positions 137 to 739 of the family's 1533-position model. Lineage: Bacteria; Pseudomonadati; Pseudomonadota; Gammaproteobacteria; Lysobacterales; Lysobacteraceae. The record is from RNAcentral.